Molecule: ribosomal RNA, 459 nt
Filed under: uncultured bacterium
Lineage: Bacteria
Description: partial 16S ribosomal RNA
Rfam family: Bacterial small subunit ribosomal RNA
Source: RNAcentral
CCUACGGGUGGCAGCAGUGAGGAAUAUUGGUCAAUGGGCGGAAGCCUGAACCAGCCAAGUAGCGUGCGGGAUGAAGGCCCUACGGGUCGUAAACCUCUUUUGUCAGGGAACAAAGGCGGGGACGUGUCCCCGGAUGAGUGUACCUGAAGAAAAAGCAUCGGCUAACUCCGUGCCAGCAGCCGCGGUAAUACGGAGGAUGCGAGCGUUAUCCGGAUUUAUUGGGUUUAAAGGGUGCGCAGGCGGUCUGUUAAGUCAGCGGUCAAAGCCCGGGGCUCAACCCCGGCCCGCCGUUGAAACUGGCAGUCUCGAGUUGGAGAGAAGUAUGCGGAAUGCGCGGUGUAGCGGUGAAAUGCAUAGAUAUCGCGCAGAACUCCGAUUGCGAAGGCAGCAUGCCGGCUCCACACUGACGCUGAGGCACGAAAGCGUGGGUAUCGAACAGGAUUAGAUACCCUGGUAGUC